RNAcentral lists this ribosomal RNA (253 nucleotides) under uncultured bacterium. Its description in RNAcentral is "partial 16S ribosomal RNA". It matches the Rfam family "Bacterial small subunit ribosomal RNA", at positions 524 to 776 of the family's 1533-position model. The record is from RNAcentral.
UACGAAGGGGGCGAGCGUUGUUCGGAUUUACUGGGCGUAAAGCGCACGUAGGCGGUCUGCUAAGUUUGGAGUGACAGUUGGUGGCUUAACUGCCAAAGUGCUUCGAAAACUGACAGACUUGAGGGCUUCAGAGGGACACGGAAUUCCGGGUGGAGUGGUGAAAUGCGUAGAGAUCCGGAGGAACACCAAAGGCGAAGGCAGUGUCCUGGGGAGUACCUGACGCUCAGGUGCGAAAGCCAGGGGAGCGAACGGG